GGGCUCGUAGAUCAGUGGUAGAUCGCUGUGUUCGCAACGCAGAGGCCGCGGGUUCAAGUCCCGCCGGGUCCA
RNAcentral lists this transfer RNA (72 nucleotides) under Methanospirillum sp. Its description in RNAcentral is "tRNA-Ala". It matches the Rfam family "tRNA". From Rfam's summary of the family: Transfer RNA (tRNA) molecules are approximately 80 nucleotides in length. Their secondary structure includes four short double-helical elements and three loops (D, anti-codon, and T loops). Lineage: Archaea; Methanobacteriati; Methanobacteriota; Methanomicrobia; Methanomicrobiales; Methanospirillaceae. The record is from RNAcentral.